UCCUUCUCAAUGAGCUCCUUCCUGCCAUAAAAUCAGUGGCAGUCUAUGGAUUCGCACGAGAAGAACAUUAAAAGCUCAGUGCUGGCUUAUUCACUUUCUGGUCUUGUCAGAUACCGUGAUUAGCUAUGGCUGGACACUU
Molecule: small nucleolar RNA, 139 nt
Organism: Crocodylus porosus (Australian saltwater crocodile)
Lineage: Eukaryota; Metazoa; Chordata; Crocodylia; Crocodylidae
Gene: SNORA75
Rfam family: Small nucleolar RNA SNORA75
About the family: U23 belongs to the H/ACA class of snoRNAs. snoRNAs bind a number of proteins (including dyskerin, Gar1p and Nop10p in the case of the H/ACA class) to form snoRNP complexes.
Source: Ensembl